GUUCUUAUAGUUGAAAUACAACGAUGAUUUUUCAUGUNAUUGGUCGUNGUUAGAUUCCACGUGGGAAUA
This 69-nucleotide transfer RNA is filed under the name Equus sp. RNAcentral's name for it is "tRNA-Glu". It matches the Rfam family "tRNA". From Rfam's summary of the family: Transfer RNA (tRNA) molecules are approximately 80 nucleotides in length. Their secondary structure includes four short double-helical elements and three loops (D, anti-codon, and T loops). Lineage: Eukaryota; Metazoa; Chordata; Mammalia; Perissodactyla; Equidae. The record is from RNAcentral.